UACGGGGGGAGCAAGCGUUGUUCGGAUUUACUGGGCGUAAAGGGCGCGUAGGCGGCCUCCGCAAGUCAGUUGUGAAAUCUCCGGGCUUAACCCGGAAAGGUCAAUCGAUACUGCAGGGCUAGAGUGCAGAAGGGGCAACUGGAAUUCUCGGUGUAGCGGUGAAAUGCGUAGAUAUCGAGAGGAACACCUGCGGCGAAGGCGGGUUGCUGGGCUGACACUGACGCUGAAGCGCGAAAGCUAGGGGAGCGAACGGG
Molecule: ribosomal RNA, 254 nt
Filed under: uncultured bacterium
Lineage: Bacteria
Description: partial 16S ribosomal RNA
Rfam family: Bacterial small subunit ribosomal RNA
Source: RNAcentral